This 472-nucleotide ribosomal RNA is filed under the name uncultured bacterium. Its description in RNAcentral is "bacterial SSU rRNA". It matches the Rfam family "Bacterial small subunit ribosomal RNA", at positions 34 to 507 of the family's 1533-position model. The record is from RNAcentral.
CGCUGGCGGCGUGCCUAACACAUGCAAGUCGAACGAAGCAUUUAAGUGAAUCUCUUCGGAGUGAAGCUUUUAUGACUUAGUGGCGGACGGGUGAGUAACGCGUGAGUAACCUGCCUUUCAGAGGGGGAUAACAGUUGGAAACGACUGCUAAUACCGCAUAACGUAUCGGAACCGCAUGAUUCUGAUACCAAAGCUGAGGCGCUGAAAGAUGGACUCGCGUCUGAUUAGAUAGUUGGUGAGGUAACGGCUCACCAAGUCGACGAUCAGUAGCCGGACUGAGAGGUUGAACGGCCACAUUGGGACUGAGACACGGCCCAGACUCCUACGGGAGGCAGCAGUGGGGAAUAUUGCACAAUGGGCGAAAGCCUGAUGCAGCAACGCCGCGUGAGGGAAGACGGUUUCGGAUUGUAAACCUCUGUCUUUGGUGAAGAUAAUGACGGUAGCCAAGGAGGAAGCCACGGCUAACUACGUG